RNAcentral lists this ribosomal RNA (281 nucleotides) under Bifidobacterium boum. RNAcentral's name for it is "partial 16S ribosomal RNA". It matches the Rfam family "Bacterial small subunit ribosomal RNA", at positions 117 to 400 of the family's 1533-position model. The record is from RNAcentral. Lineage: Bacteria; Bacillati; Actinomycetota; Actinomycetes; Bifidobacteriales; Bifidobacteriaceae.
CCGACCAACCUGCCCCAUGCUCCGGAAUAGCUCCUGGAAACGGGUGGUAAUGCCGGAUGCUCCCGCGCCCCGCAUGGGGUGUGGGGAAAGCUUUCGUGGCAUGGGAUGGGGUCGCGUCCUAUCAGCUUGUUGGCGGGGUGAGGGCCCACCAAGGCGUUGACGGGUAGCCGGCCUGAGAGGGCGACCGGCCACAUUGGGACUGAGAUACGGCCCAGACUCCUACGGGAGGCAGCAGUGGGGAANAUUGCACAAUGGGCGCAAGCCUGAUGCAGCGACGCCGC